AACGAACGCUGGCGGCAGGCUUAACACAUGCAAGUCGAACGCCUGUAGCAAUACAGGAGUGGCAGACGGGUGAGUAACACGUGGGAACGUGCCCAAAGGUACGGAACAACUCCGGGAAACUGGAGCUAAUACCGUAUGUGCCCGAAAGGGGAAAGAUCUAUCGCCUUUGGAUCGGCCCGCGUCUGAUUAGCUAGUUGGUGGGGUAAUGGCCUACCAAGGCGACGAUCAGUAGCUGGUCUGAGAGGAUGGCCAGCCACACUGGGACUGGGACACGGCCCAGACUCCUACGGGAGGCAGCAGUGGGGAAUAUUGGACAAUGGGCGCAAGCCUGAUCCAGCCAUACCGCGUGAGUGAUGAAGGCCUUAGGGUUGUAAAGCUCUUUCGCCAGGGACGAUAAUGACGGUACCUGGAUAAGAAGCCCCGGCUAACUUCGUGCCAGCCGCCGCCGUAA
Molecule: ribosomal RNA, 451 nt
Filed under: uncultured bacterium
Lineage: Bacteria
Description: partial 16S ribosomal RNA
Rfam family: Bacterial small subunit ribosomal RNA
Source: RNAcentral